RNAcentral lists this ribosomal RNA (586 nucleotides) under uncultured fungus. RNAcentral's name for it is "eukaryotic LSU rRNA". The stretch from base 230 to 383 matches the Rfam family "5.8S ribosomal RNA". The record is from RNAcentral. Lineage: Eukaryota; Fungi.
AAGUCGUAACAAGGUUUCCGUAGGUGAACCUGCGGAAGGAUCAUUACUGGGUUUCGGGACUCGCUCCCACUCACCCGCCCUUUGUCAUACGCAAUUCCAUAUUUCGGCCCCUGGCUCCCCGAGCGCCCCCGCUAUUUGCUUAGCGGGGUACCGCCUGUUGAACCGCGGGUCGGCAUUGCAAAACCAAACGUCAUACUGAAGUCUGAUAACCAAUUUCAAACGAAAUUAAAACUUUCAACAACGGAUCUCUUGGUUCUGGCAACGAUGAAGAACGCAGCGAAAUGCGAUAAUUAAUGUGAAUUGCAGAAUUCAGUGAAUCAUCGAAUCUUUGAACGCACAUUGCGCCUCCUGGUAUUCCGGGAGGCACGCCUGUCCGAGCGCCAUUACACCCCCCAAGCCAUGCUUGAUGUUGGGCCAUGACACGUCGUCAGGCCCCAAACCUCUGGGCGCCCCUCACCGGCCGCGAACGUAGCAAGAAAUCUUUUUUCCCUCGUUCCGCGUGUCUUCCGGUGGGCGGGUCGCCGUAGACCCUCAAACUUUUACAAGGUUUGGCCUCGGAUCAGGCGGGGAUACCCGCUGAACUUAA